Long non-coding RNA from Paramisgurnus dabryanus, 588 nucleotides. RefSeq lists it as uncharacterized. The record is from RefSeq and is a predicted model, not a curated record. Lineage: Eukaryota; Metazoa; Chordata; Actinopteri; Cypriniformes; Cobitidae.
ACAGCUCAAAUGAUUUGUACGCAGCGGUGGCAGUCAAGACCCCUAAAGCCCGUAUACCAUCAUCAAAGAGUCAGAGAAAAUCCUGCACUAUUGAGGAUUAUGAAGAUUAUUUAACCAACAUAGAAGAUCUCAAGAUUUAUGGAAACGUCUAAUGAAAAUGCUCCACCUAACCUAAAAAUGUGCUUUAUACAGUGUUUUAAACAGAAAAAGACAACAGUUAAACAUAUAUUUUAGUCAAUAUUAAAAAAUACAACUUUGUCAUGUAUAUGUUAUGGAAAUAAUAGCAUCAAUAUUUUAAUUCACAUGCUUUUACUGUAUACAUAUUAUACUUACUGUAACUUUGUCUGAUUUGUUUGAAAUCUGGAUUUAUCUUUGGCUUUUUUUCCCAAAAGGGCAAGUUGGCUAAGCAAACAAUGUUUCACUUACAGGGAUUAUUCACCCCAAAACUACAUUUUUGUCAUCAUUUACUCUCGUGUUGUUUUCAAACCUGUAUGAGUUUCUUUAUUCUGUUGAAGAUACAGUAAUGUGAUAAAUGAUGGUGAGAAUGGUACCCAUUGACUUCCUUGUUUUUCUUACUAUGGCAGUAAA